RNAcentral lists this transfer RNA (76 nucleotides) under Sciopemyia fluviatilis. RNAcentral describes it as "tRNA-Gln". The record is from RNAcentral. Lineage: Eukaryota; Metazoa; Arthropoda; Insecta; Diptera; Psychodidae.
UAAUGUGUAUAUUUUAGUGUAAGAAGCAUAAAAAUUUUUGAUAUUUUAGGGGAUAGUUUAAUUCUAUCAAAUAUAA